UACGUAGGCAGCAAGCGUUGUUCGGAGUUACUGGGCGUAAAGGGUGUGUAGGCGGUUCCUUAAGUUUGCUGUAAAAUCUCCCGGCUUAACCGGGAGGGUGCGGUGAAUACUGAGGGACUAGAGUACGGGAGAGGAAAGUGGAAUUCCUGGUGUAGCGGUGAAAUGCGCAGAUAUCAGGAGGAACACCAAUUGCGAAGGCAGCUCGCUGGGACGUUACUGACGCUGAGACGCGAAAGCGUGGGGAGCAAACAGG
RNAcentral lists this ribosomal RNA (253 nucleotides) under uncultured bacterium. Its description in RNAcentral is "partial 16S ribosomal RNA". It matches the Rfam family "Bacterial small subunit ribosomal RNA", at positions 524 to 776 of the family's 1533-position model. The record is from RNAcentral.